Molecule: long non-coding RNA, 7934 nt
Organism: Gorilla gorilla gorilla (western lowland gorilla)
Lineage: Eukaryota; Metazoa; Chordata; Mammalia; Primates; Hominidae
Exons: 4
Source: RefSeq, a predicted model, not a curated record
GUUCAGGGGAGAGAACGCAAGGCAAGCAUCGCGCCAGAUGCUGUGAGUUUAUCCUGAGAGCCCAGCCGCACGCUGACAGGGCUCCAGGCCCUCUCCUACAGGAAGACUUCCUGGAUUAAUCUGCUAAUCUUCAGCUCAUCCACCUGUUUAAUAGGCAAAACCUACAGAACUAGUCCACACUGAGUGGACCUCUGGGGCUCCCAGCUGCCGAUUGACCUGAACCCCAGAGUGAACUUGUGUUGCUUUGUGGCUUCAGGAAACCUUGUAACAUCUCUGUGCUGUUUUUUCAUUUGUGCUCAAUCAUUCCUGAGGCCUCCUCCUCCUGCUGCAAUUUGACAAGCCUUGACCAAAUCAUUAAUUCCCAGUUAAUGGGAUAAAAAUGAGUUUGAAUCUGGGAUUCUGGUCAUUAACCCCAUGUCACCAUCUGCUCCAGCAGUUUGAUGGCAGGGCUAGGUGAAUUCUAAUCACCCAACACUUGUUAAACUGCUGAUUCCUGCUUCCCCACCUCUGCUGACUCAGCAUCUCUGGGGCGGGGCCUGCAAAGGCUCUCUUCCUUGACGGGGUUAUUGAGGGCAGCUCUAGGAACCCACCCAGGACCAGACCUGAUGAGGAGUUCCUCCUAUGCAUCAGUCUACUUCUGUCCCUCUUUCCCCUGCGAAGGAAAAAUAGAAGAAAGAAGCCAUCUCUGUUUGCUUUCUCUCUGUCACUCAAUCUUUGGAGCCAACUGCUUCACAAAUAAAGAGAAGUGCACAGAGAGUCCCUGAAGCCCACCAUCAACAGACAGGCUUUCAACAAAACUGUAUCAGCACCGCCUUGGCCAUAGCUACACUCUACAGAAAAUGGGAGAGAGGAACAGCGCUAGAGAAGUUUGUCCUUGCCUGGUUCCCGGGUGGAACUUCCUCUCCCCCUUGUGUUCUACGCGUGUGGUUACAGCUGCCUCUGAUCUUUGGUGACCAGCGGUUGGCAGUGGUGGUAUUUCAGCAUACCUUGAUCAUCGUGCUUAUUACACAGCCUCCUUUACCAUCAACCCCACCUACCUUCUUCUAGCCAUGCCCCCCACCUCCUCCCGUCUCUAUCCAUCUCUUCGCUCUUUUAAAAAAUACAUAAGUGUGUACAGAUCACAGUGACUUCAUUUGUGUGCCCAUUCACAUUUGAUGACUUCCAUAACCCCCAUACAAGUAGUUGUGUAUUCGUUUUAAUUCACUUUAUUUAUUUCCUAGCUCUUUCAUAAAAUAAAAUGAAAUAUAAGUAAUGAAAUGGGAAUAAAAAAGAGAAAAAUAGAAUUGAGGGGGUAAAGGAGAAAUGCAUCUAUGUUUGUGAUCACGUUCAUCUUUCUCCAUGCAUCAAUAUGCAUACUAUUAUGAAUUCAUUGCACGUAUUUUAACAUGUAGGCACUACAUGGGGAUGUGGUGUCUACAUACCACCUCUACAGUGGUAGGCACUGCAAAGGGACAUACAAAAGGUAAAAAGCAUAGUCUCUCAUAGGACUUUUCAUCUCAUGGAUGUGGCACUCAUAAUGUCUUUUAUCUGUGUCCCACUUGAUGUGAAACUCUUUAGUAGGCAUGAUCCUAUUUGAUUUCCAUAAGCAGAAGAGGGGUCACUGUUUCCAUGUUAUGAGAGAGGAAACUGAGGUUCAGAGAGUGAAAGGACCCUGAUGAGAUAAUGGAACUGGGGCUCAAAUCCUGGUUUCCCGACUCAACAUUUCACAUUCUUUCUACUCUGUCAUUAUUCAUUAGUCAAGUUUCUCCACAGACAACUCACUGAGCCACAACAUAUGAAGCAGCAUGGUAAUGCCACUAGACUGGUCAUGAUCAGAAGAUGUGGCCCCGGGGAAGAGAAAGCAAGAGAGCUGGAGAUAGCAGAGAAAGCACCAAGGAAGGGCUUGGCCGUGCAGCUCUAGCAGGGAGGUCCUUCCUUUCAGCCCCCAAGUGUCCCUCUGUGUCUCAUCUAAAAAGCAAAAAAAGAGGAGAACUAGAGCUUAUGGUUGAAGGCGUGAGAAUGAGGUGUCUUUUCCCUCUAUCUCUGUAAUAUACAAGUAUAAAUACUAUAUAUACAUAUGUAUAUGUGUUCCUUUUUUCUGUGUCUGAUUAUGCAUGCAAUUUAGCAAGGAUUUAUUGCCUAAUUUUGGUCUGGGCACUUUGCUAACGCAAUGGGGGAGGAUACCAAGAAAUUAGGGACUCAGCCUCAUUGUCCCCAGAGACUCCUGGGGGUGGGCAAGGCAGGGUGUCUGUGCAUACUGCUGGGGGAGCUCUGGAUUCGGGGACAUCAGGAGACAUGACAUUGAAAUGUCCUACUCAGUUCUCUGUACAGAUUGGAUUUCCAUGGAAGAAAGAAAAUCAACAUGUAUUGGGAGUCAACAUCUCAUUCAGUCCUGUGAGUUUAUUCUGCCUGUUUUUCAGACAAGGAGACUAAGGCUUCAAGACGGUAAGUAAAUUGCCCACAGUGUCACUGCUGGUGUGGGAAUGAGCUUCAGGGUCAUUGAGUCAUGCUGCUGCCCAGGUACCUUGUAAGGCCGUCAAGUGUUGUGGGUAAGGGUUUUGGUGCUGAUGUUCAGGUGAUUGUGAGUUUAAAGCCUGGGCCCACCCACACCAGCAGUGUUAUUUGAAGCAUGCUAUUGAACGUGCCUAAACUUCCGUUUGCUCAUCGGUAACAUGGGAACAGUAACAGUGCCUACCUCAUAAGACUGAUGGGAGGAUGUGAUCAGCUAAAGUGUGUAAAGUACCAAUAAGUAUCUAAUAAAGUUCAGUAACUAUGUCACUAUUAAUACCACUGUUAUAAUCACUAUUUUUGUCUAAAGGAGACCCAGGUGACAUGAAGCUAUUAUGCCCUGUGGACUUGAGAUCUUGAAUUAGGGUUUGAUUGUGAGACUACCAGACAAGCAGUGGGAUUUAAAUAUUCAUGGACCAGGGUCCAUCUAGGUCUCAUGGGACAAGGAAGGGACCCUCACAGUUGAUUACCCUGAGAUGGGAGAGGAAACUCUGCUAGAGGCAUUUACACCUUACUAAGCAUUUCUGGUGUAUCAAGCUCUCUGCUAGCUUGUGAGGAUGUAAUGUUCAUUAAGACAUGUUCCCAUAGGCUCUGGUCCAGCUUCUACCAGUUUUUAGGGGGACCACUGGUUUCUCCUAAGACAAACAUAGGAGCCAGAUGACUUCUGUAGUGCCUUGUAGACCUAGUCCAGUCCUUGGUGGUUCUAUGAACACUCACCCUGGCUCUGUCCCAUAGAAGUACCAGGAGUCUUCCCAGGGGAGAGAUUAAGAAACUCUUGCUCCUUCAUCCUCUGUGAUGGUUUGGAGCCUGAACAGCCUCCAGCCUAGGCCAAGUGUUCUUGGAGGAUGCGCUUCUUUAUCCCAGUCCCUCAUCAGUGCCUCCUAUAAGAGACCCACCUGCUUUACUGAGCAAUUGACUCCUACAUCCAUAUAUCUCUACCACUCCUCAAACCAAACUGCCAGCCACCUCUAAGGCAGCUAUUGAUUUCACUGACCAUAAUGGAGUGUGUUCUGUGUGUAGUCACAGCACUAAACAUCAGAAGGGAUUCAAAGAGGAAUCAGGCUAAUGCCUUUCAUCCAAGGAGCUGGCAGAUGGAUGAGCCAGACUGGCAUGCACACAGUCAGCACAAGGGAAUAGGCUGUGAUGGAGCUGGGUGUGCAGCGGACUGAGAGUGGAAUUAGCAUCCAGUUUCCAAUCCUAGUGCUGUAGCUGGCAUUAAGGCAUUCUAUUACGCUCUCCAGACACAAUCAACUUUAUUCUACAAGGUAGACACUUGUUAUAUGCCAAUAACUAUGCCAAGAAUGUAUAUGCAUUAUAUUAGUUAAUGAGAGUUUCUCAACUUUAACACUGUUGACACUUUGGGCUGGAUAAUUCUUUGUUGUGGGGAGCUGUCCUGUGCAUUGUAGGAGUUUAACAGAACCCUUGGCCUCUAUCCACCAGACACCAGCAGCGCCACCCCCCUUCCCCAAUUGCAACAACCAAAAAUGUUUGCAGACAUUGUCAAAUGUCCCCUGGGGACAAAAUCAUACUCAGUUGGGAACCACUAAGUGAAUCCUAAUAUAGACCAGUGACAUAGGUACAAUGAUCAUUUCCACUUUACAGUAAACUGAGGCAUAACAAGGUUAAACCAUAUGUCCAAGGUCACAUAGCUAGGAGGAGCUGGAAGCAGGGCCAAUCUGUUUCCACAGCCCUUAAGCUUACUGUCCUCCCUGUUUUGCCUAUCUCUGCAUGCAUGGAGCUAAGGACUCUGUAAUACUCAAUAAACCCAUGCAAAGAUGAACCAUUUCUAAUGGCAAACCCUGCUGUUUAUAUUGCAUUUACUAUCUUACCUUCCAUAAACCACACAACAACUCUUCAGUGUAGCUCCUGCUCCCAUUUUAUAAAGGAGCACACUGAGACCUGGAUUGACAGAAAGGGAUUGCCCCAAGUCACAGAGCAGAGCAGCUACCAGAGGCUGGCUUUGGGCCCACGUCUUGUAAUUCUACACUCUCCAGUACUCAGAGAGUUGAGUAAACACCGAUUAAACUAUAGGAGGCUGGCAGGCAACUUAAUAAAAAAAUAAAUGCAAAUCCAGCAUGAUGGAUAUAUUUAGCAGAUAAAUUAUUAUGUGAUGGUAUAAAAAUAGAUCAAGGGAGAGCACAUGAAAUUGCAAGCCUGACUGUGUGAGAGACAGGGAAGGCGCAUGGAGAGCGUCGGGUACAUUUAAUUAACUUUGCUGGGAAAACAUUCACAGGCUGCCACCUGAAACCAAAACAUUCAUGGGCUCCACUUAAAGUCACAAUACAUGUAGUCCUAUUGGGAAGAGUUAUAAUCCAAUAGAGCUUGAAGUCAUUGAUUAAAACAAUGUCAGUGCUCAAAUGCUUUGAUGGGUAAACCCAAUUCUCACCCGUAUAUAAGAUAACCAGGCAUGCAUUUGUGGUCUGUGUGACCCAUAAGCUCACUGACAUUAAAAUGUCCCACUCAGCUUUCUGUACAGAUGGAUUUCCAUGGAGAGAAGGAAAUCAACAUGUAUUGAGAGUCAACAUCUCAUUCAGUCCUGUGAGAUUAUUCUGCCUAUUUUAGGCAAAGAGACUAAGGCUUCAAGAGGGCAAGUGAAUUGCCCAUAGUGCCACUGCUGGUGCAGGAAUGAGCUUCCGGAAAGAGUCAAGUUCAUUGAGUCAUGCCACCACCCAGGUGCCUUGUGAGGCCACUGAGUGUUGUGGGUAAGGGUUUGGGUGCUGCCAUCCAGAUGACUGAGUUUAAAUCCUGGGCCCACCCACACCAGCUAUGUUACUUGGAGCAUGCUAUUGCACUUGCCUAAACUUCAGUUUGCUCAUCUGUAAAAUGGGAGCGAUAACAGUGCCCACCUCAUAGGAAUGAUGGGAGAAUGUAAUGAGCUAAAGUAUGUAAACCAUUGAUAAAUAUCUAAUAAAAGCUUGCAAUGAUAAGAUGCCAUUAUUAAUUACUAUAAUACUAAUGUCUAAAGGAGCCCCAGGUGGCAUGGAGCUAUACCCUGUGGACUUGUGAUCUCUCUCUGUUCCAUGCCAAAUGGAAAGCAUACAGUCAUGAAUCAGGGUUUGAGUGUGAGAGCAGACAAAGAGUGAGAUUUAAAUAUUCAUUAGUCAGGGUUCAUCUAGGUCCCUGGGGACAGGAGAGGAUCCUCAUGAUUAAUUUCAGGGGCCUUUUCCCUGAGAUGGGGGGGGACACUCUGCUAUGGUCAUGUACACUUUAUUAAGCACUGCUUGAAAUCCUCCCUACCACAAAAGUGCUGUGAUUUCAAGGUUUCCCUCUUUUAUGGGAAAACCAUAGCACAAGAAUCUACACUGUAAACCCUAUGCCUACUUAAGCCCAGAAGGAGCCUGUUACCUCAUAGAAGAAUCUUAUUUUGCCUUCAAAAGAAGCAGUUAUCAAGUGCUCGCUGGGCUUCAGCUGUUUUCACAUCCAUUUUAUUUUGAAAGCAACUGCCCUGCAGAUCUUGUGACCCUUGACUGAUAGGCGAGGCACCCGAGAACGUGGGAACGAAUGCAUGUGCUCGUGGUUUUCAUAGAAUUUGGGGCAUUGGAAAAUGGAAGGUAGGUGCUUCUGGGUCUCAGAAAUUUGCACGUCAGAACCCCUCCUAAGGGGCAUCAUAUGUGUCUCUGAGUCUUGUAUACAGAGAUAUCCAAGCAGGAGUGGAAGAAUGCUUUUUAAAAAGUAACAAAGUCAGGCCUAGUAGAUUGAGUCUGAAUGACUCAUUAUAACAUAACAUUUUCUCCUGUCUCUCAAAACAGGAGAAUUAGCUCACUAACUAUUAUAUAAGCUCUUUGAGGACAGAGAACAAGUCUAAUUGAGCAUUACAUCCUCAAAGACUGGCAGAAAUCUCAAAACAUCAGAGAUGCUCAAAACUAUGGAAAGAAAAAAAAUGUCCUCAAAGAAAACUUCAGCGCAUAUUCUUCUUUUUAUUCAAGUAUCCACUGAUUUACCUUCAUGGGCCAGGCUCUUGGGUACAAUGUGCAUGAGGCAGUUCAAGUCCCCACCAUCCUGGGACUUGGUCUAACUAGUGCUUCUGCACAAAUGAGCUUCCAACAGUUGCGUAUUCUCUGAUAUUGCAGGAUUAACCAUAGGCCCUUAAAGAAGAAAAGAAAAAAAAUGAAAAAGAGUACUUAACAAUUGCAUUCUUUGUGUUUCUUGACAGAAUGGACUAGAAACUACUAGCAAUUAUGUCGAAGCCAUUAGUGCAAAGCCAAUUUGCUUCUAGAGUUACAGUUGCACUCCAGGAACUUGAGCUACACUCCAGAGAGAUCAUUAGUUGCUGCAGACAUGUUACUGAGGGCAGAGGUGUCAUUUCCAGUCUGGAAUGUCCUCAGUCAAGUGUGGGAGCAGAAAAUGGGGGUCAAAAUAAUUAACCUCACGUGAUUUUAGCAGGACUUCUUGCAAAAUCGCCCAUAUACACUUAACAUUUCUUUCAGUUGAAUAAUCUCAAUGUAUCAGUUUUAUCAAAAUAUUUCUCUUUUUCUCUUUUAUUUUCCCACCUGGCUGAGCUUUUUUUUAAUUUUUUUUAUUUUUUUUUCUGGCUUUCAAUACAAACACCUUUAACUUACUUUCUUUGAUUCCCUUCUCCCUUCCCAUUCCCAAUAAUAGAUGAUUGUAACUAAUGGAACUCACAAGUAUUGCUGGUUGAUGCCUUUGCUAGGAUUUUCAGUACCAUAAUCCUCUCACCAGAUCAUAAGUCUCAGGAGAAAACACCUAAUUUUUCCCUUUGUAAAACUUUCCUUGACUUCGUUUCAAUUAAAUCACUUUCACCGACCCCAGGCCUCCAUUAACUAUAUCCAUCGAAAUCAUCUGUUUCACCACUCCGUGCCCGAGGCUGAGGCAGACACCCCGGCAGCAUCCCAACUGACCGAGGAGAUGACAGAGUGGGGCUGGCAGGGGUUCAGGAAUCAACUCUGGGUUCCAAUACUGUUUCCACCAGUCACUACUGGAGAUGGGUCCUUCAACAGCUCGUCGGGAGAAUGAGGAUAACAACAUUUAUCAGCUUGUAAGAAAUAAAAUGGAUAAGUAUGUGAAGUUUCUAUCAGAGUGUGGAUUUUGAUGAGCCUUAAUUCCAUCCUCUUCAUUCAACAAACAUGUCCUGAAAUCCACCUAUAUGCAAAGUGUUGCACACGACAUAAGUUUGCCAGCUGGGUGCAUUGGCUUACCUCUGUAAUCCAGCACUUCAGGAGGCUGAGGCAGGAGGAUCGCCUGAGCCCAGGAGUUUGACCAGCCUGGGCAACAUGGUGAGAUCCUGUCUCUACAAAAAAUUUUAAAACUUAGCCAAGCACGGUGGCAUGUGCCUAUGGUCUCAGCUCCUCAGGAGGCUGAGGAAGGAGGAUUGCUUGAGCCCAGGAGUUUGAGGCUGCAGUGAAUUGUGAUCACGCUGCUACACUCCAGCCUGGGUGACAGAGCAAGACCCUGUCUCAAUAAAUAAAUAAAUAAAUAAAAUAUUUAAA